AAGGAUUUAAGUUAAAUAAACUAUUAACCUUCAAAGUUAAAAAUAGAGUUUUCUAAGCCUUA
Molecule: transfer RNA, 62 nt
Filed under: Anisosticta novemdecimpunctata (water ladybird)
Lineage: Eukaryota; Metazoa; Arthropoda; Insecta; Coleoptera; Coccinellidae
Description: tRNA-Trp
Source: RNAcentral